Molecule: unclassified non-coding RNA, 416 nt
Filed under: Hevea brasiliensis (rubber tree)
Lineage: Eukaryota; Viridiplantae; Streptophyta; Magnoliopsida; Malpighiales; Euphorbiaceae
Source: RNAcentral
AGAAAAAGUGUUCUGCAUGGGGAACUCAAUCACGAAACUCUUCCAUGAAUUGUUUGUGGAACUCUGUCAAACGUGAAACAAUGGCUGGAAUCUUGUCCUCUUGAGGUAGUAUGGUGCAUCUAAAAUGCCAUGUACCAGGAACCUGACCAAAACCAGAACCUGGCACAACAACAAUUCCAGUAGCAUUAAGGAGACGACGACAAUAGAAGGUAUCAGGGGCUGCAUUGGCAGCUUGAGCUGCUUUGAUUGCCUUCACGGGCAGGUAAAUACGAGGAAAGAGAUACAUCGCCCCUUCGGCUUUAUUGCACUCCACACCUUCUAGACUGUUUAGAGCAUCUUCUAGCGCCUUUGCACGUCUUGCCAGCGAAGAGAGUAUUCCAUCCUUCUCUGCACUAUAUGAUUCAAAAGAUUCAUCU